This 59-nucleotide non-coding RNA is filed under the name unclassified sequences. RNAcentral describes it as "msiK RNA". It matches the Rfam family "msiK RNA". The record is from RNAcentral.
AGGAUGACCUAUCUCCAACGGAUCGUCCGGCACGUACCUGCCGGGAGAGGGAGCUAACG